This 482-nucleotide ribosomal RNA is filed under the name uncultured bacterium. RNAcentral's name for it is "partial 16S ribosomal RNA". It matches the Rfam family "Bacterial small subunit ribosomal RNA", at positions 30 to 507 of the family's 1533-position model. The record is from RNAcentral.
AUUGAACGCUGGCGGCAUGCUUUACACAUGCAAGUCGAACGGUAACAGGCCGCAAGGUGCUGACGAGUGGCGCACGGGUGAGUAAUGCAUCGGAACGUGCCCAGUCGUGGGGGAUAACUACUCGAAAGAGUAGCUAACACCGCAUACGAUCUAUGGAUGAAAGCGGGGGACCGUAAGGCCUCGCGCGAUUGGAGCGGCCGAUGUCAGAUUAGGUAGUUGGCGGGGUAAAGGCUCACCAAGCCAACGAUCUGUAGCUGGUCUGAGAGGACGACCAGCCACACUGGGACUGAGACACGGCCCAGACUCCUACGGGAGGCAGCAGUGGGGAAUUUUGGACAAUGGGCGCAAGCCUGAUCCAGCAAUGCCGCGUGCAGGAAGAAGGCCUUCGGGUUGUAAACUGCUUUUGUACGGAACGAAACGGCUCUGGUUAAUACCCGGGGGUAAUGACGGUACCGUAAGAAUAAGCACCGGCUAACUACGUG